This 251-nucleotide non-coding RNA is filed under the name Enterococcus phoeniculicola. Its description in RNAcentral is "T-box sequence". It matches the Rfam family "T-box leader". From Rfam's summary of the family: Uncharged tRNA acts as the effector for transcription antitermination of genes in the T-box leader family. T-boxes are found upstream of many aminoacyl-tRNA synthetase genes and some amino acid biosynthetic genes usually in Gram-positive bacteria. Lineage: Bacteria; Bacillati; Bacillota; Bacilli; Lactobacillales; Enterococcaceae. The record is from RNAcentral.
CCGAAAGCUUUGAAAAGAAGAGUACAUGUCACCGACGUUUGAAGAGAGCCCUGUGUGCUGAGAAAGGGUAACGAACAUGAGAUGGAAGAUGGUCUUUGAGCAGAAUGAGUGAGCGAAAGUGAACUUGUUACGGGAGCGCCCGUUAAAGCGCAGCAGUAUGCGAAGCAAAUUUCAAGUACUGAACGAGGUUAUUGUUGUGAAAGAAUAACGAAUCAAGGUGGUAACACGAAAGUCAGACUUUCGUCCUUUUU